UUUUAUUUUGUCUUAAACUUGAGUUAAUGGCUAAUUUAAAUGUGUACAGGUGCAUGGAAAUGGGGACAAAAAUUAAAGAAGGUUUAAUUCUUUGCUGCCGAAUUUAAUGUGCCCACAAUGGAUUUAAUUUGCUGAAUUAAUUCAUGUUGGUACCUCCUUCCUUGGACGGCAUUAAAGGAGCUGCUGGUGCUUUUUCAUGUGGCCAUUUAAUGGACAGAUUUAAUGGGUGCAUGCUUGCCGAAUUUAAUGUGCUGCAAAGACAAGCAUUCAAUGAGAUGUUGAAGAAAGCAUGUUGGAAUUCAUUAAAGAAGCUACUGCCGAAUUUAUGGGCCAUAUUGCAUGUAUUUAUUUUUGUCUUAAAAUAAGAAUUAAAGGCUGUUUUAAUUUGGUGCAGGAAUUUGGGCAUGGACGGCAUUUAAUUGCUGCUGAUUGCUCUCCUCCAUGCAUUCCUUCAUGAACAGCAAGGGCCUUUUUGGGAGUUUCUUUUCACUUUCCAAAGCAGCUCAAUUCAGCUCUUUAAUUACCUUGGAGGACGCCCCAACUGAUAAAUAAAUUUUUGCUAUCUUUUGGCCAUUCAGUUUCAUGAGUUCACACACACAAGGCUGUUUGAUACGAGUCACAAAAGCCCAAAUUCUUGAAGGCGAGGCCCAAUAAGAAAAUUCCCAGCCCAAUCAAGAAAUCCAUCCAUACUUAGUUGAAAAUCAGGCCAAAUUGUCAAAGUGGCCCAAGUUGUAAAGUUUUAUUUUUAUUUAUUUAUUUACUUAGUUUAAAUUUUUAUGUCAAUAUUCAGUCCAAGAGUCCCAGAUAAAAUGACCUUUGACCAAAUUUCCAUAUUAAAAUAAUUAGGAGUUUUUUUUUAUUUUAGUUUUCUAAUUAGAUUAGGACUAGUUAUAAGGCCUAUUUAAAAGCAUGGCUGUCCACCUUGUUAAACACUUAUCAUUAUUAUUAAAAUUUCAGAUUUGUUGAGAGCAGAAUUUUCUUUGAGUUUUCUCCAAGAUUUCUCUCUUGAGUUUUCUUUAGAAGUUGUUUUAACAAUCUUUUUGAUUGUGGGAGCCAUCUUCAACCUUCUUCUUGCCAUUGAUAUUCUUUGGAGGGGAGAUUAGAGCCGUUUGAAGGGAGUUGUGAGAUCUUUCGGGAUUUCAAGGCUUCUUAGGACUUAUCUUUUAAUUUCUUACUGUCAAUUCUUUCAUUAUUACUGCUUGUGCCGAAUCUUUAUCUAAUUUAUUUUCUGUUCUUAUUGUGUUUUCGGCUUUUUUCUAUCUUAAGGAAUUAGCCCCAAAAUCCCCAAUUUCUAGGGUUCUUGCCGAUUCAUCCAUACUCUUUUUGGGAAAAAUUAGAUUGCCAAAAUUUGGGGAAAACUAUCUGGGUGUUCAAUUGGGCAGAAUCGCAAUCUCUUCUAGGGUGUCAAGAUUCCUUAUUAACACUUAUUUCUAUUCUCUAUUUGAUUCUUUACUGUUUUGGGGAUUUUAUUUCAGAUCUGAAAAUUCAAAAAUCUAAUCUUUUAAUUUUUUGCUUCGUUUCAGAUCUAAUUGUUUAGGGUUUUCGUAGGAGUUUCCCGUGACUUGGCAACUCAAUCUUGGUCCGCGCGCAACCCCGUAUCAUUUGGUAUCAGAUUUUGGGCGUUUUGGGUGUUCUUGGUUGAUUUCUAAACUGAUCUCAAUAUUUUAAAGCAAAACCAGCAGUUUUAUCCAGAAAAAUCUUUCAAAAAAAUUUUAUUUGAGUGGGUAAACGUUGUCAAAUUGAUCUAAAAUUUUACAUACAUAUUUGUGGCACUGUGAUUGAAUAUAAAAAAUUUAUUCCUGCAAAAAAAUCAGUCAAAAAAGUCAAAAAAUCGAAAAAAAGACGAAAUCCAAUAAAAAUUUUAAAAAAAUUCAGCGGGUUGAGUUUGGUGCCCAAACUUUCCAGAUCAAAAAUUAAAUAUUUAAGGACAUUCGAGAUUUAAUUUUGUGAUUUUUUGAGAUCGGGAACACCUCGAACGAAGUUGUCAAGUUACUCCACAGUUUUUCGGGUUUUCUGUUUUCAGCAAUUUUUAUUGAUUCUUAGCUGUAGGUUUUCAUUUGUUUGCUUUUUAUUAUCCUUUUAAAAUAUCUAACACCUUCUUGUUUCUUGUGUUAGUAGGAUUUAAACGUGUGCACAAUCCUUCCUCGGUGCAACACGAAUCACUUGGUGUCUCGUCAGUUUUUGACAUCCUAGUGCAAAUUAGGAUUCUUUGGUAGUUUGGUUCACACUCUCUAAUUGGUUGAUAUAAACUCUGAUAAAGAACUCACAAGAUUGAAUUCGACCUCAUUGAGAAUUUGAUUUUUCUUUUUGAGUGAUUAAUGGUGAGGUUUGCUAACUUUUAUUUUUGAGUGUUGAGUGUUUAUUUUUUACAGGUUUUGAAGAUGUCUAAAGGUGAUAAUAAUGAUGCACUUAUGAAAGUCCAACAACAGUUAGACAGACAUACUGCUGCAAUCACACAAAUAAAUGCUACACUUCAAGCAUUGAAUACUACUUUGAAUGAGGUACGGGUGAAUCAAAAACAUCAAUAUCGAGAUCCAAUGAAGGAAGAUAAGGAUAACCAGCCCCAUAGGUGCAACCCUCAACGUGUCCCUAGAAUGGAUGAUGAUUGUCAUGAUCAUGGACAAUCAUCUUUGGCAAAACCAAAGAGCGAGCAGCAACGAGAACAUCUCUUUCAUACUCGUUGCCACGUACAAGGUAAGCUUUGUAGAGUUAUUAUUGAUGGUGAAAGUUGCUCGAACAUAGCCAGCACGACGAUGGUGGAAAAGCUUUGCUUAACCACUACCAAGCAUCCACAACCUUAUCAACUACAAGGGCUUAGCAACGAAGGCCAAUUUAGGGUCACUCAACAAGUGCGCAUCGCCUUUUCUAUCGGUAAGUAUCAAGACGAAGUUGUGUGCGACGUAAUGCCUAUUCAAGCCUGCCAUUUGUUGCUAGGAGAACCGUGGCAACUGGAUCGAAAAGUCACUCACGAUGGUCGUACCAAUAGGUAUUCUUUCAAGCAUCAAGGAAAGAAACUCACCUUAGUGCCGCUCACUCUGGAACAAGUCCAUGAGGACCAAAUCAAACUGAAAAAUUCUGUUAAAACAAGUGAGGAAAAAGAAAAAGAGAAUGAAAAAGAGCAAAAAGAGAUUGAGAGUGAAAAAGAAAUUGAAGAAAGAAGAGAAAAAGAAACAAAAGAAAAAGACGUGGAAAGGGUAGUGAGGAAUGUUUCCACUAACCAAGAUAUGAAUUUUUCUUGUGUUGCUACUUUUCAGGUUCCUGAAAGAUCGAAAGAUAACUUUCAACUUCAAUACCUCUCAAAUGGAAGACGCUUUCAUACGAUCAACUUAAGCAAAGAUGAAAUCACACUACAUGAUCCCGAAGGUAAGCGAGGUAAGGAAAUUUUAGAAACCGAGUCCAGUGCAGAUUUGAAAAUUAUUGAUAAAACUUUUGGUGACUUAGUUCUUAAAAGAUCCCCUCAUUUUGAUCCGAUUAAUUGUUACUCUUCGAUUGUGGUUGAUAAAGUCAUUACGAAAAGAAGCGUGAUUUGUUAUUCUCUUGAUUUACCUUGUGUAAAAUCCUUGAAUUUGUCCAAAUCUGUUUUGGAGAAUAAAGUAACGAAAUUUUCCAAAUUUGUUUUCAAUUUAUAUUCGUGCCUUAAACAGUUUAUGUGGUUGUACAUGAAGUUUGAGUUCCAUUUGACAAAGGUUAACUCAACAACGGAGAUUCGACUACACUAUGCCCCCGAUGAGCGAAGGUUUGUUUUAAAUGAAAAAGGUAAAAUCGACCCUUAUUCUUCUGCUUAUCGAGGUAAGAUGCUUGAAACCUUUGAAACACUUUUGUACUCCUCGGAUAGUGAUAAAGAUCGUGUUGAUGAACACUUAGAUCGAAACGUGCUUGACUGUCCUAUUUUAUUUAUUGAUGAUCUAUCUGUUUUGGUGGUUGAUAAAAAGAUUCUUGUUUUUGAUAAUGCAUGUGUGAGUGGAUCUAUAGACCGUCGAUUAAUGCAUGGUAUGAUUAUGCAACUCUGUGAACCAUGUGAAUCUUUUCAAAUACCUACUUGUGACGAUUAUGUUUACCAUUUGAUUUAUUACUCGCAAUUUAUUCAUGGUUUGUGGGAACAAUGUGAGACGACUGAAUGCCUUAAAACAUGUCCAUCUUUGUUUCAAAUAUUUGACGAGGCAGUGGUGAGUAAAUUAGAUUGUUUGCAUGGUAAUCUGAAUCUGUCCAUUCACAUGCGUUAUACCUGUUCUAUUAUGCUUAUGAUUGGACUACAAGCUUAUUUCCGCUGCUAUUUACUAUCUCAUGGCUAUUCUUCUCAGUGAACUCAAUUGCCAUUAGUCCCGUUCGAUAGAGGAAAGUCGAGUUCAUUUGAUUUUUCAGAUUCGAGGACGAAUCUUUUUGAGGAAGGAGGGAAUGAUACGAGUCACAAAAUCCCAAAUUCUUGAAGGCGAGGCCCAAUAAGCAAAUUCCCAGCCCAAUCAAGAAAUCCAUCCAUACUUAGAUGAAAAUCAGGCCAAAUUGUCAAAGUGGCCCAAGUUGUGAAGUUUUAUUUUUAUUUUUAUUUAUUUAUUUAUUUAUUUACUUAGUUUAAAUUUUUAUGUCAAUAUUCAGUCCAAGAGUCCCAGAUAAAAUGACCUUUGACCAAAUUUCCAUAUUAAAAUAAUUAGGAG
RNAcentral lists this long non-coding RNA (4652 nucleotides) under Gossypium barbadense (sea-island cotton). Its description in RNAcentral is "long non-coding RNA (GBAR_LNC021599)". The record is from RNAcentral. Lineage: Eukaryota; Viridiplantae; Streptophyta; Magnoliopsida; Malvales; Malvaceae.